RNAcentral lists this ribosomal RNA (329 nucleotides) under uncultured eukaryote. Its description in RNAcentral is "partial 18S ribosomal RNA". It matches the Rfam family "Eukaryotic small subunit ribosomal RNA", at positions 1470 to 1796 of the family's 1831-position model. The record is from RNAcentral.
CCCUUAGAUGUUCUGGGCCGCACGCGCGCUACACUGAUGCAUUCAACGAGUCUAAAACCUGCUCUGAUAGGGGUGGGUAAUCUUUUGAAUGUGCAUCGUGAUUGGGAUAGAUGAUUGCAAUUUUUCAUCUUCAACGAGGAAUGCCUAGUAAACGCAAGUCAUCAGCUUGCAUUGAUUACGUCCCUGCCCUUUGUACACACCGCCCGUCGCUCCUACCGAUUGAAUGAUCCGAUGAAUAUCAUGGAUUGAGGAUGCAAGCAGGUUCGCCUGUCUUCAUCUUCGAGAAGUGAAGUAAAUCUUAUCAUGUAGAGGAAGGAGAAGUCGUAACA